UUCGAAGUGCGGGUGAUUUAAGGGAAGCGGACUCAAAAUCCCCCGCCCUUAAAAGCGUGUGGGUUCGAGUCCCGCCUUCGGCGCCA
Molecule: transfer RNA, 86 nt
Filed under: Pseudoxanthomonas winnipegensis
Lineage: Bacteria; Pseudomonadati; Pseudomonadota; Gammaproteobacteria; Lysobacterales; Lysobacteraceae
Description: Pseudoxanthomonas sp. NML130738 tRNA-Leu
Source: RNAcentral